CCAACCCCAUUCACGAUACCUUCAUCAAAGUUGUUCAAGAGUCAGAUGAAAUUGUAUGAGAGACCAAAUCAGGUAUAAUUGAGGUCAGCAGCACUGAUAUUACUCAAGCAUUUUCAUAUUUCAUAUAGCAACGGUUAGAAAGGGUUUGAGAGAGCGCUCUUAGAAAUUCAAAUCCAACAGAAAAUAUUAAUCUUACUUUGGAUCUUCUGUAAUGCGAUGCAAUACAAACAGAGAUUCCACAGUUUCGGGGCGCAAAAGAUUAUGGCGAUCAGGAUGCUUGAUAAUAAUAUCGUCCACAUACUCUGAGCUUUUAUUCCCACCACUAAGGCCAUCUUCAGUGUUUCCCUGAUUCAAAAGUGAGAAGCAGAAAUUACUUUUCAAGUUCCACUACAAAGAGAACUAAGCUUGAAGUAGAAAAGUGAAACUUCCCAGUCACCGUCAACGGAAGUCAUAUUCACCAGUAAUAACACGUCU
RNAcentral lists this long non-coding RNA (474 nucleotides) under Amborella trichopoda. RNAcentral describes it as "long non-coding RNA (ATRI_LNC002950)". Lineage: Eukaryota; Viridiplantae; Streptophyta; Magnoliopsida; Amborellales; Amborellaceae. The record is from RNAcentral.